GAUGAACGCUGGCGGCGUGCUUAACACAUGCAAGUCGAACGGGAAACCUUUUAUUGAAGCUUCGGCAGAUUUAGCUGGUUUCUAGUGGCGGACGGGUGAGUAACGCGUGGGUAACCUGCCUUAUACAGGGGGAUAACAACCAGAAAUGGUUGCUAAUACCGCAUAAGCGCACAGGACCGCAUGGUCCGGUGUGAAAAACUCCGGUGGUAUAAGAUGGACCCGCGUUGGAUUAGCUAGUUGGCAGGGUAACGGCCUACCAAGGCGACGAUCCAUAGCCGGCCUGAGAGGGUGAACGGCCACAUUGGGACUGAGACACGGCCCAGACUCCUACGGGAGGCAGCAGUGGGGAAUAUUACACAAUGGGGGAAACCCUGAUGCAGCGACGCCGCGUGAAGGAAGAAGUAUCUCGGUAUGUAAACUUCUAUCAGCAGGGAAGAUAGUGACGGUACCUGACGAAGAAGCCCCGGCUAACUACGUG
Molecule: ribosomal RNA, 478 nt
Filed under: uncultured bacterium
Lineage: Bacteria
Description: partial 16S ribosomal RNA
Rfam family: Bacterial small subunit ribosomal RNA
Source: RNAcentral